UCUUCUCCACCUUCAGUCGAUCGAGUUGCUGCUCCUCUUCCCCUCGCGUCUCUUCUCCUCCUUCAUCGCACAGUUGUUGCUCCUCUUCCCCUCGGCCUCGCGUCUCUUCUCCACCUUCAGUCGAUCGAGUUGCUGCUCCUCUUCCCCUCGCGUCUCUUCUCCUCCUUCAUCGCAGGAGUUGCUGCCAGGUGACCUCUUUUUUUUCUUCUUCUUUUCAGUUCUUCUUCUUCUUGAGUUCUCUUCUUCAGUUCUUGUUCAAAUUUCUUUUUCUCUGCUUUUUUCGUAUCGUUUCUAUUGCUUCUUUCUUUUUGAGAUACAGCUGCCUUCACUGCUCUGUUUUUUACCUUUGUUUUUUUCCUCUGUUUUAUUGUUCACAUUUUACUGCUACUGCUUAUAAUUUAAAAAAAAUUAAUUAAUUCUUCUAUAAUUAUUUAUUCAUUUGUCCAUAAACAGUGAAUUGACUGAAUUCAAUGGCGGAUGCCAGCAAAAAGAGGGACAUUGGAUGGAAUUAUGGUACUCAAGGAGCAACGAAAGAUUCGGUUAAUUGUAACUUUUGUGGGAGUACUUUUAAUGGUGGCAUAACUCGACACAAGCAACAUUUAGUGGGUGGUUUCAAGAAUGUUAAACAAUGUACAGCUUGUCCGUCGGCGAUUAGAGAAGAAGUAAGGGCUUAUAUGCAAAAUAAAAUCGCUAAUAAUCCAUAAUUUCAAGUGAGGCAGCC
Molecule: long non-coding RNA, 721 nt
Filed under: Solanum tuberosum (potato)
Lineage: Eukaryota; Viridiplantae; Streptophyta; Magnoliopsida; Solanales; Solanaceae
Description: long non-coding RNA (STUB_LNC003850)
Source: RNAcentral